AAAAAGGGGCACAGUGAUGACAGUACACUUUGAUACAACCAUUCUCCCAAGAGACGCGAUGACGAGUAUGUGCGUGACUCUGGAGGGAAAGGGUCUACAUCUGUCUCUGCUUGUGCCUCGGAUGGGUUUUACAGUAGACGUACCACUGACCCCGCCUCUUCACCACCCAGAAAGAGGGAGGAAUUUGUCCAAGCUCUCCCAGUGAGCUGAUGCCAGAGCCAGGACUAGAACUCAGGUCUCCCAAUUCUCAGCACAGUGUGAUUUUCCUUGCAGAAUGUUGAUGCUCAAAGAACAGGAACCCCAGAACCCCAGGGAGGUAAGGAAGAAGAGCACAGCCAGGAUCAGAAGAGUGAAGAAACAAUGAUGUCCCACAGGUCACAGGGAGUAAGUAGCUGCUCUAGGGGUGAACCCAAGAGUGGUGAUUCACUGUCCAAACUACUGGCUGGAGGAGAGCUCGUGGUGGUCAUGUACGUGUGUGCAUGUGUGUGUGUCUAUAUUUGAGUGGGGCAAGGGAGGGGAUUGGGGACCGGGGGAGACCAGCCUUCUAAACACAUGAUACAAAUACUAUGGCUAUGACACAACAGGUGUUUGUCAACCUGUUCCAGCUCUUCCCAACUAUGGCAGUGGCUAUGGCCUAACAGCUGGAGGCAGGAACAGGGCAGUGACAAGAAUCAGCAACUGCAUAGGGGCCUCAUCAAUUUCCAGUCCUCCAUCCAGAAGAGGACAGGACAUGCUCAAGCUGCCCCAAAGAGAAAGGACAAAGGAGAGGAAUUCUGAGAUGCAAGUCCCUAUGGAAGAGGGGACAGAGUUAAAUUCCAGCAGUCCAACAGACUAUGGCUAGAGCCAUAGUCUUCUCUUACCUGUAUCUUUAACGUUCAGCUUACUAUUGGUUCCUUAUUAUCUCCUGUUAGUGAGGUUCCUUUCAAAAACAAUAAAACAAAACAAUAUUUUCCCGCUC
This 958-nucleotide long non-coding RNA is filed under the name Homo sapiens (human). RNAcentral's name for it is "HSALNT0033690". Lineage: Eukaryota; Metazoa; Chordata; Mammalia; Primates; Hominidae. The record is from RNAcentral.